RNAcentral lists this ribosomal RNA (253 nucleotides) under uncultured bacterium. RNAcentral's name for it is "partial 16S ribosomal RNA". It matches the Rfam family "Bacterial small subunit ribosomal RNA", at positions 524 to 776 of the family's 1533-position model. The record is from RNAcentral.
UACGUAGGUGGCAAGCGUUGUCCGGAUUUAUUGGGUUUAAAGGGUGCGUAGGCGGUCUUUUAAGUCAGUGCUGAAAUACUCCAGCUUAACUGGAGGGGUGGCAUUGAUACUGGGAGACUUGAGUGUAGUCGAGGUAGGCGGAAUUGACGGUGUAGCGGUGAAAUGCGUAGAUAUCGCUUGGAACGCCAACGGUGAAAACAGCUCGCUGGGGGUGUGCUGACGCUGAGACACGAAAGCCAGGGGAGCGAACGGG